CCUGUUGUGUUCGAAAUAAUUAGGUUGUUUCAUUGAAGUUGUACGUGUGUCGUAUAUUAAAAUUUAAACUUCAUAAAUAUACUCUGACUAAAAGCAGUUUCCUGUAGAAAUGGCUGUGCAAGUUGUCUCUCUGUGGGGAUCAACGUGGUUUUCUGUUGGCGUCAUGACAAGUAACCAUAAUACAGAGACAUUAAUCACUCAGCAUGCUGAGAAAAUUCCCCGCUUUUUAUGGAAGGAUACACAGGAUCUCGUCACUCAUUUCUGUCCUGCGCAACAGAGAGUUUUCUAGCCAACGCAACCGAGAACCAAACUUCUACCAUACGAGUCGGCCCGGCCCGUCUUGACUAGUGGGGCGUCCGCUCGUCCGCCUGAGUGCCGUCUCUAAAAAGAAUACACUGUAUUUAACAGCCAGUAAGUUCACGUCUGCAGUCUUCGUAGUGUGUUUCGUAAUUUUCGAAGAAUAAUAUGAAAGCUUUGUACUGGACGCCGGCACGAAGUUCGCCAUCAAGCGGACAUUGGCGACGAUGGAUAGCGAGGAAGACCAGGUUUACCAUCUAUUCGAUUCUGUGUACGUUUUCCAAUAGUGCAGAUACUUUUGUCGAAAGCAGAAGCCAGAGGCUUCGAUGUUUGUGACAGAAAGAAAUGUUUCUCAGUUACCAGACGUCUGAGACGCUUCUCGAGAGGAGUUUAGAGAUACGAUUACACAGCAAUCAUUAUGUGGCAGAGAACUUUGAUGUUUCUUGCAAGUUUUAUUAGGCAAAUAAAUGAUUUUAACAG
Zootermopsis nevadensis is the source of this 777-nucleotide long non-coding RNA. RefSeq lists it as uncharacterized. Lineage: Eukaryota; Metazoa; Arthropoda; Insecta; Blattodea; Termopsidae. The record is from RefSeq and is a predicted model, not a curated record.